CAGGUCUAACAGAGAAUUAGUAUUUAUACUGACUCCAAAUAUGCCUACCUAAUCCUGCAUGCACAUGCAGCAAUUUGGAAAGAAAGAGGAUUUCAAACUACUGGGGGAAUGUCUAUAAAGAACUAUGAGCAAAUCUUAAGACUGCUAUAAGCUGUCCAUUUACCCAAAGAGGUAGCAGUAAUUCAUUGCCAAGGACAUCAAAAAGGAAUAGAUGAAAUAGCAGAAGGGAACAGACUAGCAGACCAACAAGCCAAGGAGGCUGCUAAGGGUAAUUCACAGAUAACUACCUUAGCCCCUUUGAUAUGGAAAGGCCAUCCCCCAGAGAUAAGACCUCAGUACACCCAGGAGGAAACUAACAAGGCACUAUCUAAGGGAGGUAUUCUUUUACCCUCUGGGUGGAUUCAAAUGGAAGAUGACAAAUUUUAUUUACC
RNAcentral lists this long non-coding RNA (431 nucleotides) under Marmota monax (woodchuck). Lineage: Eukaryota; Metazoa; Chordata; Mammalia; Rodentia; Sciuridae. The record is from RNAcentral.